GCUCCACUUUGCUGCUCAGUCAAGGUGUGGGGCCCAGUCUCCCAAAUGCUGCAGCCAGUGAGGGGCCACAUCAGCUCUCCCGCACUCACACCCUCGGGCAGCUCACAAAUGCCCCCCUCUGCUAGGGCCAGUUCUGCAGAGCCUGCUCUCUGCCGGUGAAGGGCAGGGCCAGCCCUCCCACGGUCAUGACAGCACACCAGCUCUUCCAACAACCACAGGUAGCAAGGGGAGGGAGAAGAUGAGGAGGAGAUCACUCCUGUACUGGCUCCACCUCAUGGCAGACAAGUGGUGGGGCCAGUCCUCCUACACUCAUCCUCAGGGGUCAGCUCACCUGUGCCCCUGCCACCAGGGCCAGCUCCACUGCGGUGUCCAGGACCAUGAGGAGCAACCACAGCACUGCGCUACCCAGUCUCAAGUCUGGUUUCAUCCUAAGUGUUCCAGCCAUCUUCUAGUUCAUGCUUCGUGCUUGGGCACUUCUCCAGCCAUGUGACUCUGUGGCCUCGCCUUCCUGUUCACUUCCUUCCGGCUCUGCAGCCUGAUACAACCUGGACAGGGGUUCUUAACCUGCGGGUCACGAUCUAUUUGAGGAGGGUCGAAUGACUCUUUCACAGGGGUCGCCUAAGCCCAUCUGAAAACAUAGAUGUUUACGCUACGGUUCGUAACAGUAGCAGAUUACAGUUAUGAAGUAGCAAUGAGAAUAAUGUUAUGGUUGGGGGUCACCACGCAUGAGGACCUGUAUUAAGGGGUGCGGCAUUAGGAAGCUUGAGAAACACUGUUCUAGGCUUACGACUCAUUGUGGACCCCACCGAAGCCAUUUAAUGCGUCUCAAGAAAACUGACCAUUCAAAACCUGCAGGGCUGGCUACCGGGAGUGCAGCCCAGUGUGCAGUGCUUGGCUGGCAUAUACGCAGUGAUGGGUUCUAACUUCAGUACCAAAGGAAGUAAAUGUAGCGCAGAAACGGCAUCUUCCCACUUGGCGCCCUCAGUGGUUCCUAGUUAUUAAUAUGGCUGCCCUAACUUUUUUUUUUAAAAAAGAUGUAUUUAUUUUAUGAGUACACUGUAGCUGGCUCAGACACACCAGAAGAGGCCAUUGGGUUCCCUACAGAUGGCUGUGAGCCCCCAUGUGGUUGCUGGGAUUUGAACUCAGGACCUUUGGAAGAGCAGUCAGUUUUCUUGACCGCUGAGCCACCUCUCCAGCCCUAUCCUAACUUCUUACUUACAAGAUCCUAGAGUUGCCUUUCUCCCCCAGCGGGCCAUCUGUGUUUGGCACUUUUUGUUAUAAAUUUUAUAGAUUAAAUUUGUUGUGGUUUGGCUACUUGAA
Long non-coding RNA from Apodemus sylvaticus (European woodmouse), 1320 nucleotides. RefSeq lists it as uncharacterized. The transcript has 2 exons. NCBI's taxonomy places the organism in Eukaryota, Metazoa, Chordata, Mammalia, Rodentia, Muridae. The record is from RefSeq and is a predicted model, not a curated record.